GAUGAACGCUGGCGGCGUGCCUAAUACAUGCCAGUCGAGCGAACGGACGAGAAGCUUGCUUCUCUGAUGUUAGCGGCGGACGGGUGAGUAACACGUGGAUAACCUACCUAUAAGACUGGGAUAACUUCGGGAAACCGGAGCUAAUACCGGAUAAUAUUUUGAACCGCAUGGUUCAAAAGUGAAAGACGGUCUUGCUGUCACUUAUAGAUGGAUCCGCGCUGCAUUAGCUAGUUGGUAAGGUAACGGCUUACCAAGGCAACGAUGCGUAGCCGACCUGAGAGGGUGAUCGGCCACACUGGAACUGAGACACGGUCCAGACUCCUACGGGAGGCAGCAGUGGGGAAUCUUCCGCAAUGGGCGAAAGCCUGACGGAGCAACGCCGCGUGAGUGAUGAAAGUCUUCGGAUCGUAAAACUCUGUUAUUAGGGAAGAACAUAUGUGUAAGUAACUGUGCACAUCUUGACGGUACCUAAUCAGAAAGCCACGGCUAACUACGUG
RNAcentral lists this ribosomal RNA (497 nucleotides) under uncultured bacterium. Its description in RNAcentral is "partial 16S ribosomal RNA". It matches the Rfam family "Bacterial small subunit ribosomal RNA", at positions 28 to 507 of the family's 1533-position model. The record is from RNAcentral.